Molecule: ribosomal RNA, 253 nt
Filed under: uncultured bacterium
Lineage: Bacteria
Description: partial 16S ribosomal RNA
Rfam family: Bacterial small subunit ribosomal RNA
Source: RNAcentral
UACGUAGGGGGCCAGCGUUGCUCGGAAUUACUGGGCGUCAAGGGUUCGUAGGUGGUGCGGUAAGUUGGAAGUGAAAUCUCUGGGCUUAACCCAGCGGCUGCUUUCAAAACUGUCGCGCUCGAGUGCGAGAGAGGUCAGUGGAAUUGCAGGUGUAGCGGUGAAAUGAGUAGAUAUCUGCAGGAACAAACGUGGCGAAGGCGGCUGACUGGAUCGCAACUGACACUGAGGAACGAAAGCUAGGGGAGCAAACAGG